RNAcentral lists this ribosomal RNA (495 nucleotides) under uncultured bacterium. RNAcentral describes it as "partial 16S ribosomal RNA". It matches the Rfam family "Bacterial small subunit ribosomal RNA", at positions 28 to 507 of the family's 1533-position model. The record is from RNAcentral.
GACGAACGCUGGCGGCGUGCCUAAUACAUGCAAGUAGAACGCUGAAGGAGGAGCUUGCUCUUCUGGAUGAGUUGCGAACGGGUGAGUAACGCGUAGGUAACCUGCCUGGUAGCGGGGGAUAACUAUUGGAAACGAUAGCUAAUACCGCAUAAGAGUAGAUGUUGCAUGACAUUUGCUUAAAAGGUGCAAUUGCAUCACUACCAGAUGGACCUGCGUUGUAUUAGCUAGUUGGUGGGGUAACGGCUCACCAAGGCGACGAUACAUAGCCGACCUGAGAGGGUGAUCGGCCACACUGGGACUGAGACACGGCCCAGACGCCUACGGGAGGCAGCAGUAGGGAAUCUUCGGCAAUGGACGGAAGUCUGACCGAGCAACGCCGCGUGAGUGAAGAAGGUUUUCGGAUCGUAAAGCUCUGUUGUAAGAGAAGAACGAGUGUGAGAGUGGAAAGUUCACACUGUGACGGUAUCUUACCAGAAAGGGACGGCUAACUACGUG